Molecule: transfer RNA, 56 nt
Filed under: Physcomitrium readeri
Lineage: Eukaryota; Viridiplantae; Streptophyta; Bryopsida; Funariales; Funariaceae
Description: partial tRNA-Leu
Source: RNAcentral
CGGACUAGAAAAUCCGUUGGCUUAAGUGACCGUGAGGGUUCAAGUCCCUCUUCCCC